UAAGAUUAAUUCAGGCUGCAUCCAGAAC
This 28-nucleotide non-coding RNA is filed under the name Mus musculus (house mouse). Lineage: Eukaryota; Metazoa; Chordata; Mammalia; Rodentia; Muridae. The record is from RNAcentral.